CGCGGCCUAUCAGCUUGUUGGUGAGGUAAUGGCUCACCAAGGCGACGACGGGUAGCCGGCCUGAGGGGGCGACCGGCCACACUGGGACUGAGACACGGCCCAGACUCCUACGGGAGGCAGCAGUGGGGAAUAUUGCACAAUGGGCGAAAGCCUGAUGCAGCGACGCCGCGUGAGGGAUGACGGCCUUCGGGUUGUAAACCUCUUUCGCGAUCGACGAAGCUCCGGUUGUUGCCGGGGUGACGGUAGGUCGAGAAGAAGCACCGGCCAACUACGUGCCAGCAGCCGCGGUAAUACGUAGGGUGCGAGCGUUGUCCGGAAUUAUUGGGCGUAAAGAGCUCGUAGGCGGUGUGUCGCGUCGGCCGUGAAAACCUGGGGCUUAACUCUGGGCGUGCGGUCGAUACGGGCAUCACUAGAGUUCGGCAGGGGAGACUGGAAUUCCUGGUGUAGCGGUGAAAUGCGCAGAUAUCAGGAGGAACACCAGUGGCGAAGGCGGGUCUCUGGGCCGAUACUGACGCUGAGGAGCGAAAGCAUGGGUAGCGAACAGGAUUAGAUACCCUGGUAGUCCAUGCCGUAAACGUUGGGCGCUAGGUGUGGGGUCCAUUCCACGGGUUCCGUGCCGCAGCUAACGCAUUAAGCGCCCCGCC
RNAcentral lists this ribosomal RNA (644 nucleotides) under uncultured bacterium. RNAcentral's name for it is "bacterial SSU rRNA". It matches the Rfam family "Bacterial small subunit ribosomal RNA", at positions 232 to 873 of the family's 1533-position model. The record is from RNAcentral.